Paramuricea clavata is the source of this 293-nucleotide non-coding RNA. NCBI's taxonomy places the organism in Eukaryota, Metazoa, Cnidaria, Anthozoa, Malacalcyonacea, Plexauridae. The record is from the annotation of a GenBank genome assembly.
AUGCUAUGUACAACAUUAAACCAAAAUGGCAAUUGGGGAAAGCGAUUUUAUGAGUCCGCACAAUGGAUUUCCAUUUAACCUGUGUUUAUUGACGUUUAAGGCUAUAUAACUGCUCAUGUGAAGAACGAAUAAUAAAAUAAAAAUCGGUAAAAAAUUCAACAGGUCAAAAUCUAUAACAUUAAACCAUGACAGGUUAAACCUAACCUUGUUUUCUUUUUAAAAAUCGCGCCCAACUUGGUAUACCCAUAUUUCGACCUUGGCUGAAACUUGACCCAUGCAUUAAUCUACCUGAG